AAACAAGAAGUAAUUGUAACAGGAUGCUGUUACGAAGUCUCCCAAACAAAGCUCCCAUAACUCGCCAUUCAUAUGUUCAUUUGAUUUGAUUUUUUGUCCCAUACAAGAAUAUAUAUGGCUUACGAGUAGGGAUCUCCACCAUUUACAAGUAUUCAAACAGGAGGGGGUGGUGGUGACCCCCAGGGAAGUUACCUACAUUUCAUUUGAUUUGUUUUAUUGCCCCCUACAAGAAUAUAUAUGGUUUAAGGGUGGGGAUCUGGACCGUUUACAAAAUAAUAGCACAUUCUCAAAUUGAACGGGGUGGGGCGACCCCCAGG
RNAcentral lists this long non-coding RNA (317 nucleotides) under Mytilus galloprovincialis (Mediterranean mussel). Lineage: Eukaryota; Metazoa; Mollusca; Bivalvia; Mytilida; Mytilidae. The record is from RNAcentral.